Armigeres subalbatus is the source of this 1670-nucleotide long non-coding RNA. RefSeq lists it as uncharacterized. The record is from RefSeq and is a predicted model, not a curated record. NCBI's taxonomy places the organism in Eukaryota, Metazoa, Arthropoda, Insecta, Diptera, Culicidae. The transcript is spliced from 3 exons.
GAUUCUGAAAAGUUGCUCUUGCAUUUUCCUUGUAAAGAAAUCAAUAAUCAGUGAUUAAUAAAAAAAACUAUAGCUUCCACAAUAGCCUAUAGAAUCAAAGGAUUUGAUAAUGUGUAAAUGAUUGUUUUUUGGUAGAUCGCAUCAAUGACGACGUCAAUGACUUCGGCGAAAGAGGUGGGUUUCCAAAGUUCAAUCACGAUGGACGGGUAUUUAUUUAUGUCGUCUUCUCAUCGGAUGAUGCAGCAAAUAAAGGAUCAUCGUUUUGCUGCGACAGCAAUCAGAGUAGCACGGUAGACAAUCGGCAGUUUCGAAAAAACGUGGUUUGCACAACAACAGUAGGAGCAUAAUCGAAGUCAUUCUGUAUCACAAGGAGCAUCGCAUACCUCCAUCGUGUACCGACCGACUCGGGGAAAGAAAACAUCCUUCUCGCUACCAAAAUGUUCAUUGGUCGAACCACCAUAUAUGCCGCUCCCCUGGUCUGACAUAAACCCACAACUGGAUUAGUAUCUAUUUCAUUGACAAGCAUAGUCGAAAAAAGCAGCGAUGAGAAAAACAUCUGCACAGACAGCCGCAGUUGGAUCGUAGCAACUCCCGCAAACAAAGUGCCUAAUCGGUCACAAGUUCGACGGUCCAGCUACCAGACGAACAUUAGGCACUUAGGCAAAACAGUGUCCAACGUCGUUGUUAUAAAGUAAUGUAACAGUAACUCGUAGAGUCGGGCUACCAAGGAUAUCGGUCCCAUCUUCGGAUUGAUUGCGUAGCAUCAAUAAGUUGAUAGCAGCUGCCAUUGUCUACGGUCUGGAUAAAAAUACUGCCAGCGAGUGCAACGUUAUGCUUAUCAAUCUUGAUGGUGAUACUAUUGAUGAGUCACGCUUGGAGGAAGGAUGGGGAGUUUCCUAAAGUGUAACAGUUCAUAUAAAAUGUUCGGAUACUUUAUACAAAAAGUGUGACAUAGAUGGAGGGGGCUGACCAAUUUUUGUGAUACGUAUACGUAAUGGAUCUUCCCUAAUAAGAAUCUGCCUUCAAUGAAGUGUGUCGUUGGCGUCGUUCCUGCACGAUAUGCGAACGCAUAAGCGUAUUCUUUCGUAAUCGACACGGGCCAGCGGGCCAGCGUUUGAAAAUGACUUGUUGUUUGAGGGAAGCAUUUUUCACGACUAUCCGUGCCCGUUUCAAAGAAUCAAACGCCGAUAUUUUGCCGUGAUGAGGCCGUUACCUAUGGUGCUACUAGCUGCCAUACUGCACAAGAACAAAUUUGAGAAAGUGGAGACCUGUUACUUGACGUUUACAUUGCUGCAUGGUGUUGAAACAAGCAUACCAAUACUUUCAACACAAACUCGGUGUGAUGAUAUUCAAAGUUGGCCAAGUGGCCAAGGACAAUCAGCAUGGCAAUGUAACAGCGUCAAGUGGCAGUGACGUUGGUAGCGAGGACAUCGAACGCAUGGUAAACGAACGAGAUAUAUCGCUCCGAUGACGAACAUCAAAAGGAAACCAUUACCGCUAAGAACGAUCCGGGAUUCAAUUGAUAAUCCAACCGACAAGAAAAUAUUCUAUUGAUAAGCUAUUACAUAUGAAAAUUGCUGACUCAGUUCGGAAGAAGUCGGUAAACCUGCUCUUCCAUUCGCGAUCCUAUCUAUUAUUCAUAAUUAUAAAAAUAGUAAAUUUUAAUUUAU